CUUCUUCGAUCUGCUGCGGGCAGAUGAAGUGGAUGUGCGUAUCGACGCCGCCGGCGGUAAGGAUCAUGCCUUCGCCGGCAAUGACUUCGGUGGCUGCGCCCACGGCAAUGGUCACGUCCGGCUGAAUGUCCGGGUUACCGGCCUUGCCGAUGGCUGCGAUACGGCCGUUCUUGAUGCCGACGUCAGCCUUGACGAUGCCCCAGUGGUCGAUGAUCAAGGCGUUGGUGAUCAGCGUAUCAACCACGUCGGCGGCCAGCAGUUGACCCUGGCCCAUGCCGUCACGGAUG
Molecule: small RNA, 287 nt
Organism: Pseudomonas syringae pv. tomato str. DC3000
Lineage: Bacteria; Pseudomonadati; Pseudomonadota; Gammaproteobacteria; Pseudomonadales; Pseudomonadaceae
Rfam family: 5' ureB small RNA
Source: Rfam